AUGCUCAGUGAUUAUAAAAAGACGCGUUAUUCUGAGGAUGCAAACUGCCACCAGUUUCUUUCCUUUGCUUCUCCGCUUCACUCCCUUCAUCUUACACUCUUCCUCUUCCUUUUCCUCACACUGGUUGGUGGUCCACUGACUGUGAUUAUGAGAUCUGAGAGCAU
This is a small nucleolar RNA of Doryrhamphus excisus (bluestripe pipefish), 164 nucleotides long. RefSeq annotates it as small nucleolar RNA SNORD97. NCBI's taxonomy places the organism in Eukaryota, Metazoa, Chordata, Actinopteri, Syngnathiformes, Syngnathidae. The record is from RefSeq and is a predicted model, not a curated record.